GACUCACAUCCGAGGCCUUGUAAUUGGAAUGAGUACACUUUAAAUCCUUUAACAAGGAUCAAUUGGAGGGCAAGUCUGGUGCCAGCAGCCGCGGUAAUUCCAGCUCCAAUAGCGUAUAUUAAAGUUGUUGCGGUUAAAACGUUCGUAGUUGAACUUGUGUUUCGCACGGGCAGUACCUAGGACUGGGCAACCAGGACGGUACCUUGUCUUAUCUUUCUAUUUCUUUCAUUGGACUUAGAAAAAGUGCGUGAACGUAUUAUCGGCGUGUUCGUUUUUAUUAACGUUCACAUAAGCUCAUUUCAGUGCUCUUAACCGAGUGUUGUUGUGGGCCGAUACAAAUUACUUUGAACAAAUUAGAGUGCUUAAAGCAGGCUUGUAAUGCCUGAAUAUUUUGUGCAUGGAAUAAUGAAAUAGGACAUCUGUUCUACUUUCAUUGGUUUUUUAGACCAAGAUGUAAUGAUUAAUGGAAGCAGUUGGGGGCAUUAGUAUUACAACGCGAGAGGUGAAAUUCUUAGACCGUUGUAAGACUGACUAAAGCGAAAGCAUUUGCCAAAGAUGUUUUCAUUUAAUCAAGAACGAAAGUUAGAGGUUCGAAGGCGAUCAGAUACCGCCCUAGUUCUAACCAUAAACGAUGCCAGCUAGCAAUUGAGUGUAGCUACUUCUAUGGCUCUUUCAGUCGCUUCUCGGGAAACCAAAGCUUUUGGGCUCCGGGGGAAGUAUGGUUGCAAAGCUGAAACUUAAAGGAAUUGACGGAAGGGCACCACCAGGAGUGGAGCCUGCGGCUUAAUUUGACUCAACACGGGAAAACUUACCAGGUCCGAACAUAAAUGAGUAAGACAGAUUGAUAGCUCUUUCUCGAAUCUAUGGGUGGUGGUGCA
RNAcentral lists this ribosomal RNA (878 nucleotides) under Acomoptera difficilis. RNAcentral's name for it is "bacterial SSU rRNA". It matches the Rfam family "Eukaryotic small subunit ribosomal RNA", at positions 489 to 1284 of the family's 1831-position model. The record is from RNAcentral. Lineage: Eukaryota; Metazoa; Arthropoda; Insecta; Diptera; Mycetophilidae.